RNAcentral lists this ribosomal RNA (445 nucleotides) under uncultured bacterium. Its description in RNAcentral is "bacterial SSU rRNA". It matches the Rfam family "Bacterial small subunit ribosomal RNA", at positions 346 to 796 of the family's 1533-position model. The record is from RNAcentral.
AGGCAGCAGUUAGGAAUCUUCCGCAAUGGACGGAAGUCUGACGGAGCGACGCCGCUUGGAGGAGAAGCCCUUCGGGGUGUAAACUCCUGAACUGGGGACGAAAGCCCUGUGUAGGGGGAUGACGGUACCCAGGUAAUAGCGCCGGCCAACUCCGUGCCAGCAGCCGCGGUAAUACGGAGGGCGCGAGCGUUACCCGGAUUUACUGGGCGUAAAGGGCGUGUAGGCGGCCUGUGGCGUCCCAUGUGAAAGGCCACGGCUCAACCGUGGAGGAGCGUGGGAUACGCUCAGGCUAGAGGGUGGGAGAGGGUGGUGGAAUUCCCGGAGUAGCGGUGAAAUGCGCAGAUACCGGGAGGAACGCCGAUGGCGAAGGCAGCCACCUGGUCCACUUCUGACGCUGAGGCGCGAAAGCGUGGGGAGCAAACCGGAUUAGAUACCCCAGUAGUCC